AACAAGGCGUACCUGCGGACCUGCGGAGGGAUCAUCAAAGAAAUUUAUUAUUUGAACAGAGGAGAGAUUGGACUUGACUUCUUUUUUGUUUCUGGAGAAAAAAAAAGGGAGGAGAGGGAUGAAAACUCUGCAUUUCAUUUCUCAAAUCUUUUUCGAAAGAGACAGAGGGGAAGGGAGGGGUAAGAUCUCUCUUCUGGACAAACAACCAAUUUACAUGACUAGGAAAACAAACAGGAUGGU
RNAcentral lists this unclassified non-coding RNA (240 nucleotides) under soil metagenome. RNAcentral's name for it is "partial contains 5.8S ribosomal RNA, internal transcribed spacer 2, and large subunit ribosomal RNA". The record is from RNAcentral.